RNAcentral lists this ribosomal RNA (498 nucleotides) under uncultured bacterium. RNAcentral's name for it is "partial 16S ribosomal RNA". It matches the Rfam family "Bacterial small subunit ribosomal RNA", at positions 30 to 523 of the family's 1533-position model. The record is from RNAcentral.
AUUGAACGCUGGCGGCAUGCUUUACACAUGCAAGUCGAACGGUAACAGGCCGCAAGGUGCUGACGAGUGGCGGACGGGUGAGUAAUGCAUCGGAACGUGCCCAGUCGUGGGGGAUAACGCAGCGAAAGCUGUGCUAAUACCGCAUACGAUCUAUGGAUGAAAGCGGGGGACCGUAAGGCCUCGCGCGAUUGGAGCGGCCGAUGUCAGAUUAGGUAGUUGGUGGGGUAAAGGGUCACCAAGCCAACGAUCUGUAGCUGGUCUGAGAGGACGACCAGCCACACUGGGACUGAGACACGGCCCAGACUCCUACGGGAGGCAGCAGUGGGGAAUUUUGGACAAUGGGCGCAAGCCUGAUCCAGCAAUGCCGCGUGCAGGAAGAAGGCCUUCGGGUUGUAAACUGCUUUUGUACGGAACGAAACGGCGAGCUCUAAUACAGUUUGCUAAUGACGGUACCGUAAGAAUAAGCACCGGCUAACUACAUGCCAGCCGCCGCGGUAA